CGCGCAGGCGGCUGGUCAAGUCCGAUGUGAAAGCUCCCGGCUUAACUGGGAAAUUGCAUCGGAAACUGAUCGGCUGGAAGGUGGGAGAGGGUAGCGGAAUUCCCGGUGUAGUGGUGAAAUGCGUAGAUAUCGGGAGGAACACCAGUGGCGAAAGCGGCUACCUGGCCCAUUCUUGACGCUGAGGCGCGAAAGCUAGGGGAGCAAACG
This 207-nucleotide ribosomal RNA is filed under the name uncultured bacterium. RNAcentral's name for it is "partial 16S ribosomal RNA". It matches the Rfam family "Bacterial small subunit ribosomal RNA", at positions 568 to 774 of the family's 1533-position model. The record is from RNAcentral.